RNAcentral lists this ribosomal RNA (354 nucleotides) under uncultured bacterium. RNAcentral describes it as "bacterial SSU rRNA". It matches the Rfam family "Bacterial small subunit ribosomal RNA", at positions 8 to 353 of the family's 1533-position model. The record is from RNAcentral.
AGAGUUUGAUCAUGGCUCAGGAUGAACGCUAGCUACAGGCUUAACACAUGCAAGUCGAGGGGCAGCAUGAACUUAGCUUGCUAAGUUUGAUGGCGACCGGCGCACGGGUGAGUAACACGUAUCCAACCUGCCGAUGACUCGGGGAUAGCCUUUCGAAAGAAAGAUUAAUACCCGAUGGCAUAGUUCUUCCGCAUGGUGGAACUAUUAAAGAAUUUCGGUCAUCGAUGGGGAGUGCGUUCCAUUAGGUUGUUGGCGGGGUAACGGCCCACCAAGCCUUCGAUGGAUAGGGGUUCUGAGAGGAAGGUCCCCCACAUUGGAACUGAGACACGGUCCAAACUCCUACGGGUGGCAGCA